Molecule: ribosomal RNA, 1141 nt
Filed under: Staphylococcus pseudintermedius
Lineage: Bacteria; Bacillati; Bacillota; Bacilli; Caryophanales; Staphylococcaceae
Description: partial 23S ribosomal RNA
Rfam family: Bacterial large subunit ribosomal RNA
Source: RNAcentral
GAGGAACUUGUUCCUCGAGUCGUUGAUUUCACACUGCCGAGAAAAGCCUCUAGCUAGAAUAACGGUGCCCGUACCGCAAACCGACACAGGUAGUCAAGAUGAGAAUUCUAAGGUGAGCGAGCGAACUCUCGUUAAGGAACUCGGCAAAAUGACCCCGUAACUUCGGGAGAAGGGGUGCUCUUUGAGGUUCACGCUUCGAAGAGCCGCAGUGAAUAGGCCCAAGCGACUGUUUAUCAAAAACACAGGUCUCUGCUAAACCGUAAGGUGACGUAUAGGGGCUGACGCCUGCCCGGUGCUGGAAGGUUAAGAGGAGUGGUUAGCGCAAGCGAAGCUACGAAUCGAAGCCCCAGUAAACGGCGGCCGUAACUAUAACGGUCCUAAGGUAGCGAAAUUCCUUGUCGGGUAAGUUCCGACCCGCACGAAAGGCGUAACGAUUUGGGCACUGUCUCAACGAGAGACUCGGUGAAAUCAUAGUACCGGUGAAGAUGCCGGUUACCCGCGACAGGACGGAAAGACCCCGUGGAGCUUUACUGUAGCCUGAUAUUGAAAUUCGGUACAGUUUGUACAGGAUAGGUAGGAGCCUUAGAAGCGUGAGCGCUAGCUUACGUGGAGGCAUUGGUGGGAUACUACCCUAAUUGUAUUGGAUUUCUAACCCGCAGCACUUAUCGUGCUGGGAGACAGUGUCAGGCGGGCAGUUUGACUGGGGCGGUCGCCUCCUAAAGAGUAACGGAGGCGCUCAAAGGUUCCCUCAGAAUGGUUGGAAAUCAUUCAUAGAGUGUAAAGGCAUAAGGGAGCUUGACUGCGAGACCUACAAGUCGAGCAGGGUCGAAAGACGGACUUAGUGAUCCGGUGGUUCCGCAUGGAAGGGCCAUCGCUCAACGGAUAAAAGCUACCCCGGGGAUAACAGGCUUAUCUCCCCCAAGAGUUCACAUCGACGGGGAGGUUUGGCACCUCGAUGUCGGCUCAUCGCAUCCUGGGGCUGUAGUCGGUCCCAAGGGUUGGGCUGUUCGCCCAUUAAAGCGGUACGCGAGCUGGGUUCAGAACGUCGUGAGACAGUUCGGUCCCUAUCCGUCGUGGGCGUAGGAAAUUUGAGAGGAGCUGUCCUUAGUACGAGAGGACCGGGAUGGACAUACCUCUGGUG